Misgurnus anguillicaudatus (oriental weatherfish) is the source of this 1601-nucleotide non-coding RNA. The record is from RefSeq and is a predicted model, not a curated record. NCBI's taxonomy places the organism in Eukaryota, Metazoa, Chordata, Actinopteri, Cypriniformes, Cobitidae.
UUAUGAUUGGUGGUUGUAGUAAAUGACUUAAGUGAUCUCAAGACAUCAAUAUUAUUGUUUGGCAAACAUUCUGCUACUCAUGCUUAACAAGAACCCUUAAUUGUUUUAAAUUGACUGUGAUCCUGUGAGGGUUUGGGACGAAGAACAAGAGAACCCAAGCGCAGACGAUGUCGGGGAAAUGAACAAUGAACAUUUAACCACAGAAAACAAAAAGCCCACGUGGGGGCAACACAACAUGAAGCAUGAUAUACGAGAACACUGACAUAACAUUAUCAACUAGACUUGGAUAUAAAACUAAACUGAAAUCAAACACAAACUUUGCACAAUACAGCACGCCAGUACACAAUGAACCAGCACAAGACAAGGGACAAGACUGGAGAUUAAAUAGGGAAAAAACCGAGGGCAACAUAUGUGAGUGGGAUAACUGAUAAUGAAUAAUUAACAGGGAGAACAAGGGGGCGGGGACUAGAAACGAGACACUAGAGGCACAUGACCCAAUAUACAAGGCCAUGAGCCUCCACAUAGAACAUGAGGCUGUCAGAACCCUGCCAUCAUGAUAAAACAUAAAUAUAAAACAAGACUCUUAUGGCAGGAUCCUGACAGAUCCUAAAUCCCCUCAGGGCCUAUUGCUUUAGUUGAUAUAUUAACUAUCAUACAGUAAUGCAUUUUGCAGAUGCUUUUUUUCAAAGCAUCUUAUAGUGCAUUACAAGCUAUACAUUUUUAUCAACUUGUGUUCCCUGGGUUUAAACCCGUGACCUUUUGCACUGCAAAUGCAAUGCUCUUCCACUGAGCUAUACAGGAGCACUUUUUAACUUGGAAUUCAUCUCAAUAGUGUCUCUUGCUUUAUAUUGAUAAUAAACUGUUUUGUUUUUGUAUCUGUAUGUUUUCCAGCUCGUCUGCCCAUUCCUGUCAUCACCACACAAAACUCUUCAUCAUCAAAAAGUUCAUCAAGUUCAAACUGUGUCUUUGUGUGCUCAGUGUUCAGUGCUCAGAAUGUGAGAGAUGUGAAUCUGUCCUGGUAUAAAGGAAACAGUUUAUUGUCCAGCAUCAGUGUGUCUGAUCUCAACAACAACAUCUCUCUUCAUCUGGAGUGUCUGAAUGAUUCAUACAGCUGUGUGGUGAACAAUCCCAUCAGAAAUCAGACUCAACAUCUCUACACCACUCAUCUCUGUCAGACGUGUUCAGUUUGCAUUUGUGGUGCUCUUGUGGUCCGAUUGGUCAUCUCAGCUGUUGUGGGUGUGGCUACUGUUGCUGUUCUGGUUUAUGACGUCAGGUCGAGCAGAGAUAAACAGAAGAAAAGUUCACAGACCCCAUCAGACCAUCACUGAUAAAUUGUAGUGUCUAGUUCCUCCAAAUUGUAACAUUGUAAAACAAUUUUUCUGUUACCUUUCCUGUAAGAAAGUUUUACAUAUUGCCAUGAAUACCAGUGCACGAUUAAUGCAUUGUAAGUCAUGUUGGAUAAAAUUUUAAUGUGUAUAUUUUUUUUUAAAUUUCGAUUCGGCAUUGUGCAUUUGGCAUUUGUCUUGUAAUUAUUUGGUGUCGUACAGGAUCAUGUAAUUCUCUGUUUUUGUCUGUUGUAUAAAAAAGACUAUCACAAAUCA